AGCACUGUAGCUUCGUGGCAAGAGCAUGGGCUUGGAAGUCAGAGGGUGUGGGUUCUAAUCCCACCUCUGCCA
RNAcentral lists this transfer RNA (72 nucleotides) under Ornithorhynchus anatinus (platypus). It matches the Rfam family "tRNA". From Rfam's summary of the family: Transfer RNA (tRNA) molecules are approximately 80 nucleotides in length. The record is from Rfam by way of RNAcentral. Lineage: Eukaryota; Metazoa; Chordata; Mammalia; Monotremata; Ornithorhynchidae.